UACGGGGGGGGCAAGCGUUGUUCGGAAUUACUGGGCGUAAAGGGCUCGUAGGCGGCCAACUAAGUCAUACGUGAAAUCCCUCGGCUUAACCGGGGAACUGCGUCUGAUACUGGAUGGCUUGAGUUCGGGAGAGGGAUGCGGAAUUCCAGGUGUAGCGGUGAAAUGCGUAGAUAUCUGGAGGAACACCUGAGGUGAAGACGGGUUGCUGGGCCGACACUGACGCUGAUAGCGCGAAAGCCAGGGGAGCAAACGGG
This 254-nucleotide ribosomal RNA is filed under the name uncultured bacterium. RNAcentral's name for it is "partial 16S ribosomal RNA". It matches the Rfam family "Bacterial small subunit ribosomal RNA", at positions 524 to 776 of the family's 1533-position model. The record is from RNAcentral.